AUGGAACUAGAGAAGGCAGAAAUGGAACAAUCUACCUAUGUUACAGAAGUCAGAGAGAAAUAUGAAACAAAGUGCUGUAUGAAGGGAGAAAAUACCUUGCUUGAGGUGACUUCUGGUGUGGAGGACAGGAAGCUCAGGAUGUCAAGUACAAGCAGAGAACAGAAGCUGACAGCUCAUCCUAGCUGUUGAAGAAACUGUCCCCAUUCGACAUGCUGUUUACCGUUUACAUAAGAAAUCGCAAGCUGCCAGAGCCAGAGCCGCCUGAUGACUGCGCCAUGCUGACAUGGUGAUAGUUUGCUCUUAAAUUAAAAUGGAGCUGUGUUUGAUUUAUCCUCUUCAGCUGUCACUCCUCACCUCCACUGAACCUUCCCUAAGACCACAAUAAAGAUCAGCUCAAGGUUCCACACUGGGUUCCAACCGUGAAGAAUGGAAUAACCCUGAAACUGGCUCCUUCCAGUAGAACAGUGUUUGCCACCAGCAUUGGGGUGGGGAGGAAAUUGUUUGAAUUUCACAGAAUAAAGGAAACAGGAAAUUAAUCACGAGGCUGACUGUAUCCAUACUGUGCAAGACCAGAAUUGGG
RNAcentral lists this long non-coding RNA (580 nucleotides) under Chinchilla lanigera (long-tailed chinchilla). Its description in RNAcentral is "lncRNA (ENSCLAG00000028439.1)". The record is from RNAcentral. Lineage: Eukaryota; Metazoa; Chordata; Mammalia; Rodentia; Chinchillidae.